UGUGUGUGUGUGUGUGUGUCUGUGUGUGUGUGUGUGUGUGUCUGUGUGUGUGUCUGUGUGUGUGUGUGUGGUACUGUAAUGGGCAGAAGCUCAGGCACACACACACACACACACACAUGCAGUCUGUGUCUCACACAUAUUCGUUCUUCUUUCUGUUGCGCACGCCAUCCACUAAUCUUGUAAUUUAUUAUUUUGACGAAAAGUCAUGCCAUCUUGUUCUACCAAAUAACAAAAACAAAAAAAGACCUAUUAGAGAUCUAUCACCUUUCUUAUAGCUAUUUGGGUACUGGAUGUCAAGGAAGAAGAAAACCAGUUGUAGCGAGCAAACGUACCUGACCACACUGUGUUUAAUUGUUAUGGUGUGGCGACCUGCUGACUUGACCAUAUAUGGCAUCAACUGAUGUGUGUGUGUGUGUGUGUGUGUGUUUCUGUGUGUGUGUGUGAAGCUGCGCAGGAGCCAAUCACGUGGCUCGUCAGUGGCGGGUUUUGUAUUUCUAGUUAAAAUAAUUGUUCUUCAUGCUGCGACACGUUUUGUUUUUUAUUUUAUUUUAUUUUAUUUUAUUUUAUUUUAUUAUUUCACCCCAGAAAGCACUUAGGUCUUUUGAUUGCAUGCACAAUGUACAUCACGCCGUAUGUCUUAGAUCGCACUCUUGAUGCCUGAGCUCGAUCUCUUUUCUUUUUUUCCAGCGAAUGUAUUACUUUAACCUACGUCAGUUAUUUAUUUCGAGCUGAAACGAGAUUUAUCGUGUCUAAUCAUUUCUUUGUGUAUUUGUUCGAGAUGCUCGGUUUGUUUGUUUUUUUGCUCCGGCUUUUUUACGGUGCACUAGACAGCAGCGAUUGUUCAAUCCCCAACACACACACACACACACACACACACACGUGCACUAGACAGCAGCGAUUGUACAAUCCCCAACACACACACACACACACACACACACACACACACGUGCACUAGACAGCAGCGAUUGUACAAUCCCCAACACACACACACACACACACACACACGUGCACUAGACAGCAGCGAUUGUUCAAUCCCCAACACACACACACACACGCACGCACACACACACACACACACACACACACACACACACACACACGUGCACUAGACAGCAGCGAUUGUACAAUCCCCAACACACACACACACACACACACACACACACACACGUGCACUAGACAGCAGCGAUUGUACAAUCCCCAACACACACACACACACACACACACACGUGCACUAGACAGCAGCGAUUGUACAAUCCCCAAAGAUGUGCGGACAUGCCCCUGCGAAGCUUGGAUGCGGAGAAGGAACAAAACAAACAAACAAAAAAUGCGGAAAUGCCAGCCUCACCAAAUCCUACUAACCCACUCUACCAGCACUCUGUACAGUGGGUAGGUGAACUCAGACUGCGCUAUGAGAACAGUCAGCAAGGGCGGGGAUGGAUAGCUGCAGGUGUGUGUGUUAUGGCACCAGUUAACCACCACUGUCCAGCGUAAACAGAAAGCUGGUGUGUGUGUGUGUGUGUGUGUGUGUGUGUGUGUGUGUGCAGUGCCUCCUGUUAUAGCCAACCGUGUGCAGUGAUGUGCUUUCAUUCUCUCUCUCUCUGUAUUUGCAUGGGAUGUUUUUGUACUGCAAAAAAAAUGGCAUCUUAAAUAAAUUUCAUUAUUUUAUGUA
Long non-coding RNA from Clupea harengus (Atlantic herring), 1669 nucleotides. RefSeq lists it as uncharacterized. Lineage: Eukaryota; Metazoa; Chordata; Actinopteri; Clupeiformes; Clupeidae. The record is from RefSeq and is a predicted model, not a curated record. The transcript has 2 exons.